GAGCACUGUUUCGGCUAGGGGGCCAUCCCGGCUUACCAACCCGAUGCAAACUGCGAAUACCGGAGAAUGUUAUCACGGGAGACACACGGCGGGUGCUAACGUCCGUCGUGAAGAGGGAAACAACCCAGACCGCCAGCUAAGGUCCCAAAGUCAUGGUUAAGUGGGAAACGAUGUGGGAAGGCCCAGACAGCCAGGAUGUUGGCUUAGAAGCAGCCAUCAUUUAAAGAAAGCGUAAUAGCUCACUGGUCGAGUCGGCCUGCGCGGAAGAUGUAACGGGGCUAAACCAUGCACCGAAGCUGCGGCAGCGACACUGUGUGUUGUUGGGUAGGGGAGCGUUCUGUAAGCCUGUGAAGGUGUGUCGUGAGGCAUGCUGGAGGUAUCAGAAGUGCGAAUGCUGACAUAAGUAACGAUAAAGCGGGUGAAAAGCCCGCUCGCCGGAAGACCAAGGGUUCCUGUCCAACGUUAAUCGGGGCAGGGUGAGUCGACCCCUAAGGCGAGGCCGAAAGGCGUAGUCGAUGGGAAACGGGUUAAUAUUCCCGUACUUGGUGUUACUGCGAAGGGGGGACGGAGAAGGCUAUGUUGGCCGGG
This 588-nucleotide ribosomal RNA is filed under the name Salmonella enterica. Its description in RNAcentral is "partial 23S ribosomal RNA". It matches the Rfam family "Bacterial large subunit ribosomal RNA", at positions 905 to 1495 of the family's 2925-position model. The record is from RNAcentral. RNAcentral also lists the same sequence under 1 other name. Lineage: Bacteria; Pseudomonadati; Pseudomonadota; Gammaproteobacteria; Enterobacterales; Enterobacteriaceae.